Molecule: long non-coding RNA, 219 nt
Organism: Rana temporaria (common frog)
Lineage: Eukaryota; Metazoa; Chordata; Amphibia; Anura; Ranidae
Exons: 3
Source: RefSeq, a predicted model, not a curated record
AUUCCACACAAGAAGAUCACACCAUCCCUCACCUUAAUCAGGAUGAAGACAUAAAAGAUGUCAAAGCUGAGAUUAAAGAAGAAGAAGUAGGGAGGUUGGUGAGUGGAGAUCAACAGUCUAUGGAGGAGGAGAAGAUGAUGGAAAUUAAACAGGAGGAAUCUUCUCUACAUAUGGACACAAAUGGAUCCAGUAAUGGGAACCCACCAGAGAGAUGUCCUC